AGAAUCAACGCUGGCGGCGUGCCUAACACAUGCAAGUCGCACGAGAAAGUGGAGCAAUCCAUGAGUAAAGUGGCGCACGGGUGAGUAACACGUGAAUUAUCUACCUCCGAGUGGGGAAUAACUGAGAGAAAUCUUAGCUAAUACCGCAUAACACUUACGAGUCAAAGCAGCAAUGCGCUUGAAGAGGAGUUCGCGGCAGAUUAGUUAGUUGGCGGGGUAAUGGCCCACCAAGACGAUGAUCUGUA
This 245-nucleotide ribosomal RNA is filed under the name uncultured bacterium. RNAcentral's name for it is "partial small subunit ribosomal RNA". It matches the Rfam family "Bacterial small subunit ribosomal RNA", at positions 26 to 285 of the family's 1533-position model. The record is from RNAcentral.